This is a long non-coding RNA of Gasterosteus aculeatus aculeatus (three-spined stickleback), 2862 nucleotides long. The record is from Ensembl. Lineage: Eukaryota; Metazoa; Chordata; Actinopteri; Perciformes; Gasterosteidae.
GGUAUGAAGAGGCAGCGAUGGCGGACCGGAUCUGAGCUAGCGUACAUGAGCGGAGAGACACCCCCCCCGCCCCCCCGCGCCAGCUUUUAAUUGCUGUUAUGAACAGAUUUGACGGGAUUGACGCGUCUCGGCGUCUCGGCUGUGGCCCGUGGCGUCGCCCUGCACUUCUGGAGGCCGCGUCCGAGCGAAGCUCGUCUGCAUCGAUUCAUCCGGUUUGAGGAGACGAUAUCGACCAAAGUCCUCAUCGAGCGGAGGCGAAGCGAAAGGAGCGUUAAGAGGUGGUCGAACGCUACGGAGGAGGAUGGCCACAGGCUGCGGAAUCUCCUCUGAUCUUCGCUUGUCUGAUUCUCAAAUGCAACUCUUUCUCUGGGGGGGGGGGGGGGGGGGGGGCGCAUGUGGAUAUAGAAAUAGGCCAAUGUCACAGAACGCUCAUCUAACCCUGGAGGGAAAUAAAGAAGAAGGCCUAAAACCUAAAUCUCUGCGGAUGGAGCUUCGCCUCCGUCGCUCCGGCUCAACGUGCUCGGGCUGAGCGGCGGCCGCUAGGAUAGCGAAGGUAAUCUUCGGUCGUGUCACUCAGGCCCCGGAGGACGGAGGGGGGGGGAGAGGAGAGCGAGCGAGACGGAGCCGCCCGUCAUCUUUGAGACCGCGUCAGAUGGUCACCGACCAGCGAGCGCGGCGGCUAUCGACAGUCCCGGUGCAUCCUGGUCUAUUACCACAUAUGUAACAUGAAGAAACGAGGCGGCGCUUUGUCCUCACAGACGUGUCUCACUGGGAGUGAGGACGAGGACACGAGGCCUGGACAGAGAGCCGAGGACAGAAACGUGUGUGUUUUUGGGAGGGUAGUUCGGAAGGCAGGGAAGGGGAGGGGGGGGGGGGCGAGGGACCCGGUAGUAUUUCCACAUGAGCACACCUACCCCCCCCCCCCCCCUCCUCUCCUCCUCCCGCCAACCCGUGUAUCCUUAAAGGGAUGAAAAGCAGGGACAAAGGAAUUAAAAUAUAGAUUACUCAAGUGGCCACCCUGCGCCUUAUCGGCCCAAAACCAAAAAAUCUAACAAAUUGGAUCAGGCGUCGGGGGGUGUGGGGGGGGGGGGGGGGGCGAGAGGAGAUAACUUAUGAUGUAAUCAGGACUUUUAAAGACACUUUAUUUGAUAAAAAUGUGACUUCUCAGACCUCAGUUUGAGUGUAACUAUUUGAACGCACAGGUCGAAGUUCAAGUAUUGUUAGCGUGUGUCAGUGUGUGUCAGUGUGUGUCAGUGUGUGUCAGUGUGUAUCAGUGUGUGUCAGUGUGUAUCAGUGUGUGUCAGUGUGUGACAGCAGAGCGCGGAGGAACAUUCGGACGACUCACCUGUAUCUUCGGAGUGACGACGUCUUGUUCUGAUUCAGACGGUGACCUCUGACCCUCAGAGCAGGCGGCCAUGUGCGCUUCUUCUGACCCGUUGUCGUGCAGGUUCAGACCACGCGCGUGUGUGUGUGUAUUUCUGUGUGACUUCACGCCACAGCUCCCUGCAACAAAAAACAUUGGGUGAUAAGACGAGAGAUGAUCCAACUUGUAUUUUUUUGGUCUCAAAACUUCCCCACUUGAAAUACUCGACGGGAAACCAUUGACGUUGCUUAAAAACUUUUAUCUUACAAUUCUACAAUUACUGAACAUAAUAUUGCAUGACAUUCGCCAAACAAGAUGUUUCAUAUUUUGACUCAAAGAUAAAAUAUGAAAUCACAAAUAAAAAGUUCCAGUUUUAAUAUUGUUAGUUCAAUAGAAAAAGAGGACAAUAGAUACUUUGGUAGCUCUUCAUAUUAUCUGGGCUACAGAUACAGAAAAUGCCAAACAGAUGAAUCUAAUGCUGUUAAUUCCACUUGUAAAUAUAUGCAGUGAAAAGAAAAAGAAGCCAAUGCAUCCUGAAGAGAGCGCGUCGUCAGAGUUAGAAAGUUUUCUCGUAGUUCUUUUUUCAACUGUCAGCAGUACAUUUAUGACAAUACCAAUCUCUUCCAUGCACACACACACACACACACAAAAACACACAAACAUACACACACAGGCAAUUACACAUCACAAGCGAUUACACAAAAUACUCAAAGAUUACAUCCGCUGAAACCCGAUGUCCUUUGCGGGUUUAAAGGCUGCACGUCAGCCUCUCAAAAAAUGUUUCUCUUUCCCCUGCAUGGGUCAGAGGCUGUUGCUAGGCUACCAAACCCAGAACCCAUAAGUUCAGAGAAAGGGUUUAUGUAGGCCAUUGCAAUUCAAGGUAAAAGGAUGAUAUAAAAUUGAUACCGCUGGAAUAUAGGGACUCCGGUGAGAUGGAAUCAAAUGAGCCAUGAAUAGUUUUCAGAUCUGAAUGGAAGUCUAGUAAUACGGAUAAUAGUGAUGAUAAUAACAAUAAUAGCAAUAAUAAUGAGGAUGAUAACAUCGGUAAUACAAACAGUAAAAAUAGUUAUUUUUAAGUAAAUACUUUCUCAAAUAUAAUAAGAUUUAAAAUAUAGAAAAAUGCAUUCCGGGAAGUAAAUUCAAUAAUUAGAAAAAUUAACUGUGUAACUGUAAAAAUAAAUACAAUUUUGAAAAGAUUUACCCUAAUGUGGUGUCUGUUGUGCUGGAAGAUACUACACAAAGCACAGGAGGACACACUUAUGCAGAGAACAAAACAUCGCACACACACACACACACACACACACACACACACUCAAACGCACAGCUCUACAUUCCAGUGGCCGGGUCGGGAUAACAUCUGUAGGACGCCAGCUUUGUUCCGGCGCACAACAAACAAACAAACACUCGCAGCAUAUAUGCAACAAACGGCACUACAAGGUGGAAAUAUUCAACGCCAUCGGUACGGAGAAAGAGGGGUGAAGGAAGAAGAGGUGGGGGGG